This 497-nucleotide ribosomal RNA is filed under the name uncultured bacterium. RNAcentral describes it as "partial 16S ribosomal RNA". It matches the Rfam family "Bacterial small subunit ribosomal RNA", at positions 28 to 507 of the family's 1533-position model. The record is from RNAcentral.
GAUGAACGCUGGCGGCGUGCCUAAUACAUGCAAGUCGAGCGAACAGACGAGGAGCUUGCUCCUCUGACGUUAGCGGCGGACGGGUGAGUAACACGUGGAUAACCUACCUAUAAGACUGGGAUAACUUCGGGAAACCGGAGCUAAUACCGGAUAAUAUAUUUAACCGCAUGGUUCAAUAGUGAAAGACGGUUUUGCUGUCCCUUAUAGAUGGAUCCGCGCCGCAUUAGCUAGUUGGUAAGGUAACGGCUUACCAAGGCAACGAUGCGUAGCCGACCUGAGAGGGUGAUCGGCCACACUGGAACUGAGACACGGUCCAGACUCCUACGGGAGGCAGCAGUAGGGAAUCUUCCGCAAUGGGCGAAAGCCUGACGGAGCAACGCCGCGUGAGUGAUGAAGGUCUUCGGAUCGUAAAACUCUGUUAUUAGGGAAGAACAAAUGUGUAAGUAACUAUGCACGUCUUGACGGUACCUAAUCAGAAAGCCACGGCUAACUACGUG